RNAcentral lists this RNase P RNA (232 nucleotides) under Wickerhamia fluorescens. Its description in RNAcentral is "Nuclear RNase P". The stretch from base 56 to 232 matches the Rfam family "Nuclear RNase P", at positions 83 to 275 of the family's 301-position model. From Rfam's summary of the family: Ribonuclease P (RNase P) is a ubiquitous endoribonuclease, found in archaea, bacteria and eukarya as well as chloroplasts and mitochondria. Its best characterised activity is the generation of mature 5'-ends of tRNAs by cleaving the 5'-leader elements of precursor-tRNAs. Lineage: Eukaryota; Fungi; Ascomycota; Pichiomycetes; Serinales; Debaryomycetaceae. The record is from Rfam by way of RNAcentral.
GUUCUCUCCAUCCAGACUUAUAGAUUGAAACUUUCCUUGAAAGUUUCGGCUUAUGAGUUACAAACUGCUCUUGAGAGCGUCCUUAGCGUGCAAACGCUGGGCGGUGCUAUCAGAAAUUUACCAGUCCUUACUUCGUAUUGGGACUGGAUGGGAAUGGCACUGCGGAUGGUUGGCCCUCUGAAUGAGAGAGAGGGCUUUUGAGUGCAAUAUGCGAACUUGGAUAUUCCAAGAA